CGGUUCGAGUCCGCUUACCUCCACUGAUCAACUACCUGAUAACUCAAAUUGGAGAUUGUUAUUUGUUAAAUGUGAUUUAGAUGUUGUUCAACUGAAGGAACCUAGCUUCCUAUCACUCCUGAAUUAACUUUAGGCUGAUAAGACGCUGGGCUCACUGGAUGUUCUAAGGGAUAUUCAGUUUGCUUCAGCA
This 190-nucleotide unclassified non-coding RNA is filed under the name uncultured cyanobacterium. Its description in RNAcentral is "partial 16S-23S ribosomal RNA intergenic spacer". Lineage: Bacteria; Bacillati; Cyanobacteriota. The record is from RNAcentral.